AGGAUGAGCCCGCGGCCUAUCAGCCUGUUGGUGGGGUAAUGGCCCACCAAGGCGACGACGGGUUUCCGGCCUGAGAGGGCGACCGGCCACACUGGGACUGAGACACGGCCCAGACUCCUACGGGAGGCAGCAGUGGGGAAUAUUGCACAAUGGGCGAAAGCCUGAUGCAGCGACGCCGCGUGAGGGAUGACGGCCUUCGGGUUGUAAACCUCUUUGGGCAGGGAAGAAGCGAAAGUGACGGUACCUGCA
Molecule: ribosomal RNA, 249 nt
Filed under: uncultured Streptomyces sp.
Lineage: Bacteria; Bacillati; Actinomycetota; Actinomycetes; Kitasatosporales; Streptomycetaceae
Description: partial 16S ribosomal RNA
Rfam family: Bacterial small subunit ribosomal RNA
Source: RNAcentral